UGGGGAAUCUUGGACAAUGGGGGCAACCCUGAUCCAGCCAUGCCGCGUGAGUGAUGAAGGCCUUAGGGUCGUAAAGCUCUUUCGCCUGUGAAGAUAAUGACGGUAGCAGGUAAAGAAACCCCGGCUAACUCCGUGCCAGCAGCCGCGGUAAUACGGAGGGGGUUAGCGUUGUUCGGAAUUACUGGGCGUAAAGCGCACGUAGGCGGACCAGAAAGUUGGGGGUGAAAUCCCGGGGGCUCAACCCCGGAACUGCCUCCAAAACUAUUGGUCUAGAGUUCGAGAGAGGUGAGUGGAAUUCCAAGUGUAGAGGUGAAAUUCGUAGAUAUUUGGAGGAACACCAGUGGCGAAGGCGGCUCACUGGCUCGAUACUGACGCUGAGGUGCGAAAAGUGUGGGGAGCAAAACAGGAUUAGAUACCCCUGGUAGUCCACACCGUAAAACGAUGAAUGCCAGUCGUCGGGGUAGCAUGCUAUUCGGUGACACACCUAACGGAUUAAGCAUUCCG
This 504-nucleotide ribosomal RNA is filed under the name uncultured bacterium. RNAcentral's name for it is "bacterial SSU rRNA". It matches the Rfam family "Bacterial small subunit ribosomal RNA", at positions 355 to 871 of the family's 1533-position model. The record is from RNAcentral.